GAAGUGUUAGUAAAUUAUUACACCACCUUGUCAAGGUGGAAUAAUAGGUUGAAACCCUGUACAUUUCU
This 68-nucleotide transfer RNA is filed under the name Scaphiopus holbrookii (eastern spadefoot toad). Its description in RNAcentral is "tRNA-Asp". It matches the Rfam family "tRNA". Rfam says of the family: Transfer RNA (tRNA) molecules are approximately 80 nucleotides in length. Their secondary structure includes four short double-helical elements and three loops (D, anti-codon, and T loops). Lineage: Eukaryota; Metazoa; Chordata; Amphibia; Anura; Pelobatidae. The record is from RNAcentral.